This 28-nucleotide non-coding RNA is filed under the name Rattus norvegicus (Norway rat). Lineage: Eukaryota; Metazoa; Chordata; Mammalia; Rodentia; Muridae. The record is from RNAcentral.
UCUGCCUGUAUGUAAACAAUACGCAAAU